CCCUUAGAUGUUCUGGGCUGCACGCGCGCUACACUGAUGCACUCAACGAGUUUACGACCUUGCCCGAUAGGGUUGGGUAAUCUUUUUAAAAUGCAUCGUGAUGGGGAUAGAUUAUUGCAAUUAUUAAUCUUCAACGAGGAAUUCCUAGUAAGCGCGAGUCAUCAGCUCGUGCUGAUUACGUCCCUGCCCUUUGUACACACCGCCCGUCGCUCCUACCGAUUGAGUGCUCAGGUGAAUAAUUCGGACUGCAGCAAUGUUUGGAUCCCGAACGUUGCAGCGGAAAGUUUAGUGAACCUUAUCACUUAGAGGAAGGAGAAGUCGUAGCA
This 326-nucleotide ribosomal RNA is filed under the name uncultured eukaryote. RNAcentral's name for it is "partial 18S ribosomal RNA". It matches the Rfam family "Eukaryotic small subunit ribosomal RNA", at positions 1470 to 1796 of the family's 1831-position model. The record is from RNAcentral.